CGUAGGGAAACCGAGAAGCGAGCCACAUGGGAAGUACGGCUCGCAAGGAUGAAACUUAAAGGAAAUUGGCGGGGGAGCACUACAACGGGUGGAGCCUGCGGUUUAAUUGGAUUCAACGCCGGAAAUCUCACCGGGGGCGACAGCAUGAUGAAGGCCAGGCUGAAGACCUUGCCUGAUCCGCUGAGAGGUGGUGCAUGGCCGUCGUCAGUUCGUACUGUGAAGCAUCCUGUUAAGUCAGGCAACGAGCGAGACCCACGCCCACAGUUGCCAGCGAGCCCUUCGGGGUGGCGGGUACUCUGUGGGGACCGCCGCUGCUAAAGCGGAGGAAGGAAUGGGCAACGGUAGGUCAGUAUGCCCCGAAUCUCCCGGGCUACACGCGGGCUACAAUGGUCGGUACAAUGGGUAUCUACCCCGAGAGGGGAUGGAAAUCUCCUAAAACCGGUCGUAGUUCGGAUUGAGGGCUGCAACUCGCCCUCAUGAAGCUGGAAUCCGUAGUAAUCGCGUUUCAACAGAACGCGGUGAAUACGUCCCUGCUCCUUGCACACACCGCCCGUCAAACCACCCGAGUAGGGUCUGGAUAAGGGUGCGCCAUGUUGACGCAUUCGAAUCUGGGCUUUGCAAGGGGGGUUAAGUCGUAACAAGGUAACCAAGGGCGAAU
RNAcentral lists this ribosomal RNA (658 nucleotides) under uncultured archaeon. Its description in RNAcentral is "bacterial SSU rRNA". It matches the Rfam family "Archaeal small subunit ribosomal RNA", at positions 802 to 1458 of the family's 1478-position model. The record is from RNAcentral.